RNAcentral lists this ribosomal RNA (119 nucleotides) under Helianthus annuus (common sunflower). Lineage: Eukaryota; Viridiplantae; Streptophyta; Magnoliopsida; Asterales; Asteraceae. The record is from RNAcentral.
GGUUGCGAUCAUACCUGCACUAAUGCACCGGAUCCCAUCAGAACUCCGCAGUUAAGCGUGCUUGGGCGAGAGUGGAACUAGGAUGGGUGACCUCCUGGGAAGUCCUCGUGUUGCAACCC